Long non-coding RNA from Anser cygnoides (Swan goose), 742 nucleotides. The record is from Ensembl. Lineage: Eukaryota; Metazoa; Chordata; Aves; Anseriformes; Anatidae.
UGAGGUGGGUGCUGGGACCCCCCCCCACCGAAGGGGAUGACCGAAAGCGGGGGUUCUGGCCCCAAAACGCGACGUUUUUGCCCUAUUACCUUGUGUCGGGACACGUUCACCUCGUAGCGGGACCCCGUUGUCCCGUAUUGGGCCCUUUUUACCCCAAAACGGCCCUAUUAGCACACACCGGGACCCCUUUACCCCAAAACAACCCCGCCACCUCACCCCAGGACCCCGUUACCUCUCACCAUGGCCCCCUCACCUCGUUUUAGGACCCCCUCACCUCAUUUUAGGACCCCUUUUCCCCAUUUUAGGACCCUUUUACCUCAUUCUGGGACCCCCUCGCCUCACACCGGGACCCUAUAACCUCACUUAAGCGCCCCUUUACCUUAUUUUAGGCCCCCUUCACCUCAGAUCAGGACCCCUUUACCUCGUAUCGAAACCCUUUUAUCUCAUUUUAGGGCUUCCUUACCUCAUUUGGGAUCCCCUUUCCUCAUUUUGGGGACCUUUUACCUCAUUUUGGGACCCUUUCACUUCAUUUUGGGGCCCUUUUACCUCAUCCCGGGACCCCCUCACCUCAUUUUGGGGCCCUUUUACCUCAUUUUGGGACCCUUUUACCUCAUUUUGGGACCCUUUUACCUCAUUUUGGGACCCUUUUACCUCAUUUUGGGACCCUUUUACCUCAUUUUGGGACCCUUUUACCUCAUUUUGGGACCCUUUUACCUCAUUUUGGGACCCUUUUACCUCAUUU